This 253-nucleotide ribosomal RNA is filed under the name uncultured bacterium. RNAcentral describes it as "partial 16S ribosomal RNA". It matches the Rfam family "Bacterial small subunit ribosomal RNA", at positions 524 to 776 of the family's 1533-position model. The record is from RNAcentral.
UACAGAGGUCCCGAGCGUUGUUCGGAUUCAUUGGGCGUAAAGGGCGCGUAGGCGGCUUGGCAAGUCAAAGGUGAAAUCCCUCGGCCUAACCGAGGAACUGCCUUUGAAACUGCUUGACUUGAGGCCGGGAGAGGGUAGCGGAAUUCCCAGUGUAGCGGUGAAAUGCGUAGAUAUUGGGAGGAACACCAGUGGCGAAGGCGGCUACCUGGACCGGUUCUGACGCUGAGGCGCGAAAGCGUGGGGAGCAAACAGG